This 819-nucleotide long non-coding RNA is filed under the name Arabidopsis lyrata. RNAcentral's name for it is "long non-coding RNA (ALYR_LNC001752)". The record is from RNAcentral. Lineage: Eukaryota; Viridiplantae; Streptophyta; Magnoliopsida; Brassicales; Brassicaceae.
UUUUUUGUCAUCUGAUGUUAUUGAUAAUAACUUGAAAGGAUACAUGUGUUACAAAGCAUAAGCCGGCGGAAAACAAGAUUUCCCCAGAGUCUAAAGCCGGCGGAAGACAAGAUUUCCCCGGAGUCUAAAGCCCUAUGAAAGGGAAGCCAUAGUCAUAACUAAACUACAAGGCAAGAUGGACAUACACUAAGGAUCAAAAUGGAUCAAUGCUCUAAAACCGACCAGCUGAAACAGUAGACUUCACUUAACUUCCCAUAGAACCUUUAGCGCCGAGCAGCCUCAAGGAGACCGGAUGUGCCAUAUAACCGAAGUCAAACCAAUAGCACGCCGACAAGAAGGAAAGCAGAGCCCACUGAAAACAGAGAAACAGAAACUGCCACCGUCGCGCCAAACCAGAACAGUCAAAGAGCUAGGAACAAGGAGACAACCCUUGAGAUUCGACCUGAGAUAAGUCAAAGAAGACAAACCACUCUAACACACGGACACUCGUCGACCUAGCUUCCGCCAUCUACCGUCAUGAAACUAGUGACGUCCUCGCAAGAGAAGAGCAGAAGGUCGAGUCCAUUGCUUGGCCUGAAACCCAUCAGACUACAACAAAGCAGCCAAGAGAAGGGGAUAGUAGAUGAUCUCACAACGAAAUACCAUCCGAAUGACAAACUCAAAAUCAAAACCUAGCCCAUAACCAAGAAUCAGAAGAUCCAACAGAGCAGAAGCGCAAAGGUCCAAACGCAAAUCCCAAAAGCUAAAUCCAAGGAAUCAAGCCCAAACAACAACAACUACAAAAAACCAAAGAGAGAUCUAGACUAGAGAAAACACGGA